UCCGAUGCGCUGCACACAGGAGCCCCUGACAGUGCCCGCGCCUGCUGCCUGCGAUCACUGCUCGCUUCGCUGGAUGUUUGCGCAGCAGAGGACACCUGCCUCCGCCGAUCACCGCACCGAAUCCCACCUCGUCGUUAACUUUUGCACCGUGUGACGUUUUUUUCACCUGUUCCAAGACUAUCGGUUGAAAACAAAACCUAUAUACCCUGGCGUUUGACUUCCAACUUGGAUGGAUAUUUGCGACAUGUUUAGAAAGUUCCCCCUGCGUCAAUGAGCAUGGGCGCAAACUUUAGAAGCUUUUUUAUAAUACAAGGCAGUUUUUUGGAAUGAAGGCAGGCGAGUCACCCGAAGCGUGAGUGGCGCGUGGAGAUCCGGGGGCUCUCCAGGUGCUGGGAAAGGAAAAGGAGACACGGAGGAAGUCGUGAUCUGUGCGGCGGAUUGCGCCACGGAGGACCGGGGGGGAACGGACCGAUGAGCCAUCAUGGGUCCAUUGAUGUGUGAUGGACGCCUGACACACCUCCUCCUCCCUCUCCUCCUCCUUUUGCGGGCUCCCCCACUGUUCAGCUUUGGUGAGCGCACCUGUCCAAAUAGCUGCCGAUGCGAGGGGAAAACGGUACAUUGUGAUUCAGCUGGCUUCUUAGAUGUUCCUGAAAACAUCUCAGUUGGCUGCCAAGGCCUCUCCCUGCGCUACAACGAUCUACACACCCUGCUGCCGUAUCAAUUUGCUCAUCUGGGCCAGCUUCUCUGGAUAUACUUGGACCAUAAUAAAAUUUCAGCUGUUGACAGUCGUGCGUUCCAGGGGGUUCGCAGGCUUAAAGAGCUGAUACUGAGCUCCAAUAGGAUCACAUCGCUGCACAACUCAACAUUCCAUGGAAUUCCCAAUCUUCGCAGUUUGGACUUGUCUUACAACAAAUUGGAAGUCCUUCAGCCAGGUCAGUUCCAUGGCUUACGAAAACUACAAAACCUACACCUGCGCUCAAACGGUCUCUCCAAUAUCCCAAUUCGAGCAUUCCUGGAGUGUCGAAGUUUGGAGUUUCUGGAUUUGGGUUACAAUCGUAUCAAGGCUCUUACUCGCACUACAUUUUUGGGGCUUCAGAAGCUAAUGGAGUUGCAUCUGGAGCACAACCAGUUCUCACGGAUCAACUUUUUUCUGUUUCCACGCUUGGCCAAUCUGAGAUCACUCUUCCUGCAGUGGAACCGCAUUAAGGUGGUCAACCAGGGCCUUCCAUGGACUUGGUAUACACUGCAGAAACUCGAUCUGUCCGGAAAUGAAAUCCAGAUCCUGGACCCAGCUGUGUUUCACUGCUUGCCCAACCUUCAAGUCCUCAACCUGGAAUCCAACAAACUGUCCAAUGUGUCUCAGGAGGCUGUGUCAGCAUGGAUAUCCCUGACCUCCAUGAGCCUUGCCGGGAACAUGUGGGAUUGUGGAACUGGGAUAUGCCCGCUUGUGGCUUGGUUGAGAAGUUUUCGGGGUAGCAAAGACACCACUAUGAUAUGCAGCAGCCCUAAGUAUCUCCAGGGAGAAAAAAUUAUGGAAGCCACAAGGAACCAUGGAAUUUGUGAGGAAACUGAUUACGUUCUGACAGAAACACCCUCACCAAUGUCAGAACUCAUUUCUGAAGCAACAGGAGAACCAACCUUUGCCCCCACUAGCGCCUCUCCACCAAUGCCAAUAGCAAGCACCUUUGGUCCUGUCCCACCCUACAGACCUCGACCUAUUCCUCAUCCUACCUUUCCAGGGCAUAUGAGCAAAGACCCAAUAGACUCAGUUGCCCCCACCCGACCCACGCUCAUACCACCUCCAGAGCUGGAACACAUGACUCUUCACAAAGUGGUGGUGGGCAGCGUGGCACUCUUCUUCACUAUGUCCCUAAUCUUGACAAUUAUCUAUGUGUUUUGGCGGCGAUAUCCAGCUGCAACCAGGUUGCUGCCGCAGCGAUCCAUGGUGGGGCGGAAGCGUCGUAAAAAGAGUCCAGAGCCUGAGCAGAACCUGAGCUCCCAGCUCCAAGAGUAUUACAUGAGCUACAACCCUGCUGCCACUCCAGAGGCAUUGGAGGUGCUAAGCAAUGGCACUGGUUCCUGCACAUGCACAAUUUCUGGCUCCAGGGAGUGUGAGGUAUGAUUCAUCGCAUCAGCCAAAAAUAACAAAUCUAAAUCAAAAUGCAAAGGCUCAACAGAGAGAAUGAGUAUACGUGCCCACGCCCGCUACCUGGUGCCUGGCUGGGAGAUGUGCCUACGAUCCAUUAACCGCUAAAAGGAACUGCUUUGAAGGAAAAAGGAAAGAGACAUAUGCAGAGAAUCUGGAUCCUACUCACAUUAUUCAAAGGAUACAUUUAAACGGUCCUCCACGCUAACAAGGGCAACCACUGACAAAGACAAAGAGGAGAUAAAACGGUCUUUUCCUUAAGAUUUUACAUUGUCUUAUUUGUUUCGCUCAUAGGCCCAUCAUGCUCCAUCACUAAAUGAAUAAAUGGUUGUGGAAAUGCAGUCCUAUGGUAAAUAGCGGAGCCUUGGAGGAAGACUCAUGAGCGCUGAUGGAUGGUUAUAUCCAACACGAGAGCUUAUUGUAUAGACUCUAAUAGCCUAUUGUCUCCCUGAGGACAACAUGGCAUUGUUUUAAACCAAGGAAAGAGACUGUACAAAUUCAAGAGGCUUUAAAAAAAAUUGUAAAACCCAGCAAGAGUUUUUGACUAAAAAUGCAUUGAGCAGCUGGAGCUGAGCACUCUGCUAAUGCAGUUAUGUAUACUUUAAAGUGUGUUUCCAUACUUUGACUUCCCCACGUUAUCACCUUUCAACCUUUUUUUUUUCGUAAGAAAGCCCAAUUAAAGGCGAGGAUGGUGUAAAUGUGCCUCACUGGAGCAGAAACAUUAUUGAAAAGGAGCUUCGGUGCACCUGUCAGGAAAGAGGACGCUGCUCCAUCAGGUGGAAAUCGAGCAGCAGCUGGAAGAUUGCUUUCGAAGCCUGAGAGGAAAAGCAAACUAUCCCCCAGCCACCUUUGGUGAAGUCUUUGUGGUUUGUUUGCUUUUUUUUAAAGAACAUUUUUCUAAGUUGUUUCUAAUUGCAAUCAAACCUUGACUAUAUCGUUUGAUUUGGAAGACCUGAGGGGUCAAUCAGAAGCAAGGGGAAAGUAAAAAGCCCCUAUCAAGGGUAUACAAUGUAAUUUUCUGCAAUUAUAAUGUUGUUAAUGUUGUACUUUAUGAAUAUGUGUUUCUGCUAUUUUCAACACCAAAUACCAAAGAGCCAAAUGGAGCACUUUUGGCUCUCCCAAUUGGGUCGUAACAGAUCCAGAAUUUGAUCCACGAAAAAUCUAAAAGAAGCCUCAACUCGCAUCAUGUCCAGUAAUGCUCCAUUACCCGAUUGGCUUUUUUUUAUUUUCUACGUGUGUAAUUUGUACGUCUUUGUGAACAAAGGAUCUUGCAACCACGGUCACUUGGAUGAUCUUGUCUUGAAAGAUUAUUUUGGCACUGCUUGCAUUUUACGUCUUGCGUUGAAAACAUGCUUCACUUUCCUUUGAAUAACCCCCUCAAAGAGAAUGCAGAUGUAGCUGCGCGGCUCCGCGUGUGCUUGUGUUCCAUCCAUUAUGAGUUCUUGAUUACAUUUGAACCGCGUUGUGAAUUGUUUCAACCCUCAGACAUCUUUCUACACUGGAAAAUGAUAAUUUUCUAUUGUAAAUGUCUGCCCCCCCACCCGUUGUUGAUAUUUAGUAAGCUGCUGUGUUCUUGGUUCACUUACAACAGUAUGUUUUUUAAUGAAAAUAACGACUUUGUUGGUGAGCAAUAUGAAUUGAUUAAAAAUGUUCAUUAAUCAUU
RNA transcript from Gymnodraco acuticeps, 3809 nucleotides. It is a transcript of the gene named leucine rich repeat transmembrane neuronal 4 like 1, with no coding region annotated. NCBI's taxonomy places the organism in Eukaryota, Metazoa, Chordata, Actinopteri, Perciformes, Bathydraconidae. The transcript is spliced from 3 exons. The record is from RefSeq and is a predicted model, not a curated record.